This 28-nucleotide small RNA is filed under the name Bombyx mori (domestic silkworm). Its description in RNAcentral is "ovarian small RNA-36272". The record is from RNAcentral. Lineage: Eukaryota; Metazoa; Arthropoda; Insecta; Lepidoptera; Bombycidae.
UGUUUGUGUCGAAGCUUCACAUGAUUGA